GAUGAACGCUGGCGGCGUGCCUAAUACAUGCAAGUCGAGCGAACAGACGAGGAGCUUGCUCCUCUGACGUUAGCGGCGGACGGGUGAGUAACACGUGGAUAACCUACCUAUAAGACUGGGAUAACUUCGGGAAACCGGAGCUAAUACCGGAUAAUAUAUUGAACCUCAUGGUUCAAUAGUGAAAGACGGUUUUGCUGUCACUUAUAGAUGGAUCCGCGCCGCAUUAGCUAGUUGGUAAGGUAACGGCUUACCAAGGCAACGAUGCGUAGCCGACCUGAGAGGGUGAUCGGCCACACUGGAACUGAGACACGGUCCAGACUCCUACGGGAGGCAGCAGUAGGGAAUCUUACGCAAUGGGCGAAAGCCUGACGGAGCAACGCCGCGUGAGUGAUGAAGGUCUUCGGAUCGUAAAGCGCUGUUAUUAGGGAAGAACAAAUGUGUAAGUAACUAUGCACGUCUUGACGGUACCUAAUCAGAAAGCCACGGCUAACUACGUG
RNAcentral lists this ribosomal RNA (497 nucleotides) under uncultured bacterium. RNAcentral describes it as "partial 16S ribosomal RNA". It matches the Rfam family "Bacterial small subunit ribosomal RNA", at positions 28 to 507 of the family's 1533-position model. The record is from RNAcentral.